RNAcentral lists this ribosomal RNA (624 nucleotides) under Salmonella enterica. RNAcentral describes it as "partial 23S ribosomal RNA". It matches the Rfam family "Bacterial large subunit ribosomal RNA", at positions 2179 to 2802 of the family's 2925-position model. The record is from RNAcentral. Lineage: Bacteria; Pseudomonadati; Pseudomonadota; Gammaproteobacteria; Enterobacterales; Enterobacteriaceae.
CGUGGAGCCGACCUUGAAAUACCACCCUUUAAUGUUUGAUGUUCUAACGUGGACCCGUUACCCGGGUUGCGGACAGUGUCUGGUGGGUAGUUUGACUGGGGCGGUCUCCUCCUAAAGAGUAACGGAGGAGCACGAAGGUUGGCUAAUCCUGGUCGGACAUCAGGAGGUUAGUGCAAUGGCAUAAGCCAGCUUGACUGCGAGCGUGACGGCGCGAGCAGGUGCGAAAGCAGGUCAUAGUGAUCCGGUGGUUCUGAAUGGAAGGGCCAUCGCUCAACGGAUAAAAGGUACUCCGGGGAUAACAGGCUGAUACCGCCCAAGAGUUCAUAUCGACGGCGGUGUUUGGCACCUCGAUGUCGGCUCAUCACAUCCUGGGGCUGAAGUAGGUCCCAAGGGUAUGGCUGUUCGCCAUUUAAAGUGGUACGCGAGCUGGGUUUAGAACGUCGUGAGACAGUUCGGUCCCUAUCUGCCGUGGGCGCUGGAGAACUGAGGGGGGCUGCUCCUAGUACGAGAGGACCGGAGUGGACGCAUCACUGGUGUUCGGGUUGUCAUGCCAAUGGCACUGCCCGGUAGCUAAAUGCGGAAGAGAUAAGUGCUGAAAGCAUCUAAGCACGAAACUUGCCCCGA